GACGAACGCUGGCGGCGUGCUUAACACAUGCAAGUCGAACGGAAAGGCCCUGCUUUUGUGGGGUGCUCGAGUGGCGAACGGGUGAGUAACACGUGAGUAACCUGCCCUUGACUUUGGGAUAACUUCAGGAAACUGGGGCUAAUACCGGAUAGGAGCUCCUGCUGCAUGGUAGGGGUUGGAAAGUUUCGGCGGUUGGGGAUGGACUCGCGGCUUAUCAGCUUGUUGGUGGGGUAGUGGCUUACCAAGGCUUUGACGGGUAGCCGGCCUGAGAGGGUGACCGGCCACCUUGGGACUGCGAUACGGCCCAGACUCCUACGGGAGGCAGCAGUGGGGAAUAUUGCACAAUGGGCGGAAGCCUGAUGCAGCAACGCCGCGUGCGGGAUGACGGCCUUCGGGUUGUAAACCGCUUUCGCCUGUGACGAAGCGUGAGUGACGGUAAUGGGUAAAGAAGCACCGGCUAACUACGUG
RNAcentral lists this ribosomal RNA (468 nucleotides) under uncultured bacterium. Its description in RNAcentral is "partial 16S ribosomal RNA". It matches the Rfam family "Bacterial small subunit ribosomal RNA", at positions 28 to 507 of the family's 1533-position model. The record is from RNAcentral.